GUCUACCGCCAUAUCACCCUACGCACACCUGAUCUCAUCCCAUCUUGGAAGCUAAGAGGGGAUGGGUUAGGUCUCGUCCUGAUUAGUACCUGGAAGGGAAACACAGUCCACU
Molecule: ribosomal RNA, 112 nt
Filed under: Carlito syrichta (Philippine tarsier)
Lineage: Eukaryota; Metazoa; Chordata; Mammalia; Primates; Tarsiidae
Source: RNAcentral